GGGGGUAUAGCUCAGUUGGGAGAGCGGCGCGUUCGCAUCGCGCAGGCCAGGGGUUCGAAUCCCCUUACCUCCA
RNAcentral lists this transfer RNA (73 nucleotides) under Pseudomonadota bacterium. Its description in RNAcentral is "tRNA-Ala". It matches the Rfam family "tRNA". From Rfam's summary of the family: Transfer RNA (tRNA) molecules are approximately 80 nucleotides in length. Their secondary structure includes four short double-helical elements and three loops (D, anti-codon, and T loops). Further hydrogen bonds mediate the characteristic L-shaped molecular structure. tRNAs have two regions of fundamental functional importance: the anti-codon, which is responsible for specific mRNA codon recognition, and the 3' end, to which the tRNAs corresponding amino acid is attached (by aminoacyl-tRNA synthetases). tRNAs cope with the degeneracy of the genetic code in two manners: having more than one tRNA (with a specific anti-codon) for a particular amino acid; and 'wobble' base-pairing, i.e. permitting non-standard base-pairing at the 3rd anti-codon position. RNAcentral also lists the same sequence under 1 other name. The record is from RNAcentral. Lineage: Bacteria; Pseudomonadati; Pseudomonadota.